GAAUACUGAGAGAUCUUGACAUGCUUCUCUGUGUGUCUGGAGGUUGGGACGUCGACGAUGUUAGAGAGUUUUUCGGAAUUGAGAAGAUCGUCUGGGUUUUGAGAUGACAAAGGCGGUGGUGGAGCCGAUUUCGAAAUCAAAAAGUGAAACAAAAAGAAACAGAGAAAAAAAAAAGAAAAUUAAUCCUCGAAAUGAAAUAAAA
This 202-nucleotide long non-coding RNA is filed under the name Lathyrus oleraceus (garden pea). RNAcentral describes it as "Pisum sativum (pea) long non-coding RNA (PSAT_LNC028558)". Lineage: Eukaryota; Viridiplantae; Streptophyta; Magnoliopsida; Fabales; Fabaceae. The record is from RNAcentral.